GGGCCCGCACAAGCGGAGGAACAUGUGGUUUAAUUUCGAUGAUACGCGAGGAACCUUACCUGGGCUUAAAUAGUAGAUUGCAUGGAGUGGAAACAUUCCUUUCCUUCGGGACUAUUUACAAGGUGCUGCAUGGUUGUCGUCAGCUCGUGCCGUGAGGUGUCGGGUUAAGUCCCAUAACGAGCGCAACCCUCAUUUCCAGUUGCCAUCAAGUCAAGUUGGGGACUCUGGAAAGACUGCCGGUGUAAACCGUGAGGAAGGUGGGGAUGACGUCAAAUCAGCACGGCCCUUAUGUCCAGGGCUACACACGUGUUACAAUGGUCGAUACAAUGGGCAGCCACCUGGCGACAGGGCGCUAAUCCUCAAAGUCGGUCUUAGUUCGGAUCGGAGUCUGCAACUCGACUCCGUGAAGCUGGAUUCGCUAGUAAUCGCAGAUCAGCCAUGCUG
Molecule: ribosomal RNA, 444 nt
Filed under: uncultured Bacteroidota bacterium
Lineage: Bacteria; Pseudomonadati; Bacteroidota
Description: bacterial SSU rRNA
Rfam family: Bacterial small subunit ribosomal RNA
Source: RNAcentral